CUGAAGGCUACCAGGUACCUCUGCACCUGUCAUCACAUCUGACCACAAUGACCUUUAGGGAGUAACAGUGGCUGCUGCUUCACUUCUGCCUUCCAAAUCUUGUACAAGUUCCUCUUUUGCUCAACUCUGGCCUGGAACCAUAAAGGGAACCAUAUGUAGUUCCCAGCUAAGCCAAGUUGACACAGCGAAAUCCAGAACACACUUUUGAGCAGAAAAAGGCAAACUAAAGUAAGGGUCACUAAUGUGGGAGGGGAUGUCCCAUUAGAGUCACCCUUGACUCCUCAUAUCUCCCACAUGCCCAGUUUUUCAUCAAAUUCUCUAGCUUUGAUCGGCACAAUGACACACACAUUUAUCACCUCUUCUCUAUCACCGUGGUCAUCACCGGAGUUCUGAUUCUCUUUACCAUUUUUCUUAAAAAGUGAAUGUUUUUCGUGUCCUCUAUUCAUGCUGCUCUCUCUGGCCUAUGCAUUCUUUGCAUUUGAUACCUCUCCCUAGAACGCUCUUCUCCUUUAUACUUCAAGUAUCCAUUUAAAUAUUACUUCCUUUUGGACGAAUUUUUGAAUCCCUCCAAAAAUCUGAUUUAGGGGCUUCUCUAUUUUAGCAUUUAUUACACUUUAAAUAUUAUUUAAUUAUCUUUUUUCUGCAUCUUCACCUACUAGUGCCUUGCAUAUAGGAACUCAAUAAUUGUUAGGUGGUUGACAGAAUGAAUGAAUAAAUGAGUAAUAAGUCUCUCCAUUUCCAGUAUAUCUUCCCUUUAAUAUAUUCUAUAUUCUACAUAGAAAUCGAUGUUUUUGAAAGCUUAAACUUCUUCCGUGGGCUAGUCAUUGCCAGUGGAAUAAAAUUUAGAAACUUCAUCUGGGCAUUCAAGAGCCACCACAUGUGAUCCCAGCCUCUUUUCUAAAUAUUUCCCAUCAGUCCUCUACAUGUUUUCCUGCAGACAACCAAACUGAACUGUAGGUUCUUCCCUGACAAAGAGUAAUUAUUUGCCAUAAUAAUCUCAAACGAACAGCCUUUAUUUAUUAAGCACAUAUUAUUUACUAGGCACCAUGAUAAACAUUUUAUAUAUGAUAUUUUAUUGAAUCAUCAAAAUAAGAGAUGAGAAUGCAUUCCUCAUUCUAGACAUAAAAACACUAAAGUUCAGAAGGAUAAGUCACCUGCCCGAGGUCACACAGCGAGGAAAUGAUAAAACCAGUGCUUAAACUCAUAUAUUAUCUGAUUCCACAGUCAAGAUUAUAACCACUCUACUGAAUUGCAUCCUUCUUUAAGCGGCUCUCAAUAACUGUCUGUUUAAAUGAUUAAUUAGGUGCUUACCAAAUGAAAUACUUGGAAUAGUUUAUCAUUUGAAUUCUCAAACAGCUUUAUUGGGGAAGAACUACUAUUUCCAGAUUAUAGAUGAUAAAAGUGAGACCCAAAGAGGAAGUAACUUAGUGGGGGUCACAUAGAUCAAAAGGGCAAAACUGAACUUGAAGCCUGAUCUGCCUGCCGACAGAGCUGGAGGACCUAAUCACUGUCAAAAUCUCGGCUAACCUCUUGUCUAAGUGUCCUAUGGGUAAGGGGACAGUUCUCAGGGAGGCUAAGUGACAGCCCCGAGGGUGGUACACUAGGACUCUGGCUUGCUGUCCGGUGUGUUUUUAUCAUAAGAUCUGUCUCCUUCCCUGACCAGAAAUUGGUCCUAGGCCACAGCAUGAUAAGAGCCAAGUCUUGCCGACCAGACAGUGGGAGCACGCCCAGCCCGCUCAGCCUUUGCUCGUUCUGUACCCCCUGCCUAUUAAAAUUCAAUUUCACUCUGCUGGCCCUCAAGCCAUCUGUUUCCUGUUUUCUAAGAAUACAGGGAAGAGUGAAUCAGGGAGAUGUUGUGCCUGCCUUCCAGGAGCUUCAAAAUAAAGAGUGGCAGUGCGGACAGGAACACCGUGACCAUGAAACAAAGGUUCCAUGAAAACAAGCACACAGGGCUUUCCAUUCACACCGCUGCGGAGCCGGGGAGUCCUGAAAGCCGCAAGCUUAUCCCGAGCUGGUUCUAGGGAAAUUAUCACCUUCCUGGAGAAAUUUUAAGAGCUGAAAUGCUGCAAGAGGAACCCAUCCACCCAGAAACUGGGCAUUGGGUGGGGCUAGGGCGCCGCAUGAAGGCAUGGAGCGGCCAGACCUUCCUGGAAGCCACGUCUUACCGAGUCUUAUUAGAUGGAUGCCAGCAGCUGCCAGCCGUGCCUCCGAGUGUGCAGAUGUCAAGAGGAAAAAUAAUCACAGGAUGAUGCAGCUAAACUCAGCGGGUCCUCACCAUGUGCCAGGGACUGUGGAAGGGGCUUCAGGUACUUGCUAAUGAAAAUACCAGCCAAUAUUCAUGUCAAAACUAUGCUUUCCACUCUACACACAAGAGUUCCACAUAAAUCAAUGAGUCCAUUGUCUUAGAACCAAUUGCCUAUAUGAAAUUUACAAUAAAAGCAUUUCUAUUUUA
This is a long non-coding RNA of Myotis myotis, 2452 nucleotides long. RefSeq lists it as uncharacterized. The transcript has 3 exons. The record is from RefSeq and is a predicted model, not a curated record. NCBI's taxonomy places the organism in Eukaryota, Metazoa, Chordata, Mammalia, Chiroptera, Vespertilionidae.